GAUGGACGCUGGCGGUCUGCUUAACACAUGCAAGUCGAACGAACUCUUCGGAGUGAGUGGCGGACGGGUGAGUAACGCGUGAGAAUCUGCCUUCAGGUCUGGGACAACAGAAGGAAACUUCUGCUAAUCCGGGAUGAGCCUUUUGGUAAAAGAUAAAUUGCCUGGAGAUGAGCUCGCGUCUGAUUAGCUAGUUGGUGUGGUAAAAGCAUACCAAGGCAACGAUCAGUAGCUGGUCUGAGAGGAUGAGCAGCCACACUGGGACUGAGACACGGCCCAGACUCCUACGGGAGGCAGCAGUGGGAAUUUUCCGCAUGGGCGAAAGCCUGACGGAGCAAGACCGCGUGGGGGAGGAAGGC
Molecule: ribosomal RNA, 356 nt
Filed under: uncultured cyanobacterium
Lineage: Bacteria; Bacillati; Cyanobacteriota
Description: bacterial SSU rRNA
Rfam family: Bacterial small subunit ribosomal RNA
Source: RNAcentral